RNAcentral lists this ribosomal RNA (492 nucleotides) under uncultured bacterium. RNAcentral's name for it is "partial 16S ribosomal RNA". It matches the Rfam family "Bacterial small subunit ribosomal RNA", at positions 29 to 507 of the family's 1533-position model. The record is from RNAcentral.
AGUGAACGCUGGCGGUAGGCCUAACACAUGCAAGUCGAACGGCAGCACAGUAAGAGCUUGCUCUUACGGGUGGCGAGUGGCGGACGGGUGAGGAAUACAUCGGAAUCUACUUUUUCGUGGGGGAUAACGUAGGGAAACUUACGCUAAUACCGCAUACGACCUACGGGUUAAAGCAGGGGAUCUUCGGACCUUGCGCGAUUGAAUGAGCCGAUGUCGGAUUAGCUAGUUGGCGGGGUAAAGGCCCACCAAGGCGACGAUCCGUAGCUGGUCUGAGAGGAUGAUCAGCCACACUGGAACUGAGACACGGUCCAGACUCCUAAGGGAGGCAGCAGUGGGGAAUAUUGGACAAUGGGCGCAAGCCUGAUCCAGCCAUACCGCGUGGGUGAAGAAGGCAUUCGGGUUGUAAAGCCCUUUUGUUGGGAAAGAAAAGCAGCAGGUUAAUACCCCGCUGUUCUGACGGUACCCAAAGAAUAAGCACCGGUUAACUUCGUG